CAGUCGCCGCGGUAAUACGUAGGUGGCAAGCGUUGUCCGGAAUUAUUGGGCGUAAAGGGCUCGCAGGCGGUUUCUUAAGUCUGAUGUGAAAGCCCCCGGCUCAACCGGGGAGGGUCAUUGGAAACUGGGAAACUUGAGUGCAGAAGAGGAGAGUGGAAUUCCGCGUGUAGCGGUGAAAUGCGUAGAGAUGUGGAGGAACACCAGUGGCGAAGGCGACUCUCUGGUCUGUAACUGACGCUGAGGAGCGAAAGCGUGGGGAGCGAACAGGAUUAGAUACCCGCGUAGUCCCUGUCUCUUAUAC
RNAcentral lists this ribosomal RNA (301 nucleotides) under uncultured bacterium. RNAcentral describes it as "partial 16S ribosomal RNA". It matches the Rfam family "Bacterial small subunit ribosomal RNA", at positions 509 to 807 of the family's 1533-position model. The record is from RNAcentral.